This 336-nucleotide ribosomal RNA is filed under the name uncultured bacterium. RNAcentral's name for it is "bacterial SSU rRNA". It matches the Rfam family "Bacterial small subunit ribosomal RNA", at positions 28 to 366 of the family's 1533-position model. The record is from RNAcentral.
GAUGAACGCUAGCGGCAGGCUUAACACAUGCAAGUCGAGGGGUAUGCCGAUUUAUCGGCAGAGACCGGCGCACGGGUGCGUAACGCGUAUGCAAUCUACCUUUCACAGAGGGAUAGCCCAGAGAAAUUUGGAUUAAUACCUCAUAGUAUUUUUGAAUCGCAUGAUUUGAUUAUUAAAGUUCCAACGGUAAAGGAUGAGUAUGCGUCCCAUUAGCUAGAUGGUAAGGUAACGGCUUACCAUGGCAAUGAUGGGUAGGGGUCCGUGAGAGGGAGAUCCCCCACACUGGUACUGAGACACGGACCAGACUCCUACGGGAGGCAGCAGUGAGGAAUAAUU